AUGGCGUCCCCCGCGUCUGCCGCCAAGUCCGAUCUGGAGGGCUUCUUUAAUCCGCUUGAUCUCAAUGAAGAGGAGUUCGAGGACGUUGUGAUUGACGAGGAAGACCCAUAACUCUAGGAAAGUACUAGAUGGCUUGCCCUAGCUAGGGUUCAUACUGAGAAAACCUUUAGUAAAUCGACAUUUUACAAGGACAUGAGAGCUGCGUCGAAUCCGAUGCAGCGGGUAAGAUUCCGUCCGGUCUGCCCCAAUCGCUUCAUCGUGCAGGCGUCGUGCUUGGGGGAUUGGGAGCGAAUUACGCUACAGGGACCGUGGCUGCUUCGUAACUGGGCAGUGUUACUAUGCCCAUAUGAUGGUUUUACUGAAACAGAGGAGGUUAGCAUUGUUCAUAUGCCUAUUUGGCUGCAAAUCCACAAGCUACCGGACGGGUAUUGCAGACAUGAUCUGAUUGUCAAGUUGCUCCGUUCUGCGGGAGAGGUCCUUGAAACUAGGCUUAAUGGUAACUCCGGAGGGGAUUACGUCCAGGUCAGAGUGAAACAUGACAUCAGGAAGCCUCUCACCAAAUUUGUGAGCAUUGUCAAGGGUGAAGCACGUAAGGUUUAUGCAGUAAGAUAUGAAAAGCUGGCAAGAUUCUGUAGUGCAUGUGGUAUCAUUGGCCAUGGGCAUAAGGAGUGUGGUAAUGGUGUGUUUGCUGAGAAGGAUCUCAAGUUUGGUGAUUACCUCUACGCUGACCCUCCGGCACAAGCUCGCUCGGACUGGGAAGCAAGGAGGGGAGAGAAGAAGACUUACACUGAACCACCGGUUUCUAAGUCUGUUGCGGGCAAGGGAGAAGUCAGGAUGGAUAGAGAGCUGAAGGAUACGACAUCUAGCCCUAUAAAAACUUCCCUGUCUCGUGAUAUAGAAUUGGAUAAAUCUUCUCGUAAGCGUCUCAACAUGGAUGGUGGCAUAGAAACACUUGGGACAACUACACCCUCUGCUGCGCACAGGGAAGUAUUGUUGCUUACAGACGGGAAAGGUGAUGGAGAACCGGAAUCGCCUACUAAUAGUUCCGGAAGCAAACGUGCAAAACGAGAUGGUGAGACCUCAAACUCAGAGAAAAUUUUGGCGGGCUCCCAGGAGGAGCGCCGCCAGUCCCAAUGA
This 1137-nucleotide ribosomal RNA is filed under the name Triticum aestivum (bread wheat). RNAcentral's name for it is "partial small subunit ribosomal RNA". Lineage: Eukaryota; Viridiplantae; Streptophyta; Magnoliopsida; Poales; Poaceae. The record is from RNAcentral.